Molecule: transfer RNA, 68 nt
Filed under: Lamellodiscus spari
Lineage: Eukaryota; Metazoa; Platyhelminthes; Monogenea; Dactylogyridea; Diplectanidae
Description: tRNA-Ile
Source: RNAcentral
UCCGAAUGGGCUGCAAUAAGCAGGAUAUUUUGAUAUAGUAUUAUUUGAAGCAAAGGCUUUCAUCGGUA